Molecule: ribosomal RNA, 910 nt
Filed under: uncultured bacterium
Lineage: Bacteria
Description: bacterial SSU rRNA
Rfam family: Bacterial small subunit ribosomal RNA
Source: RNAcentral
AGAGUUUGAUCAUGGCUCAGGAUGAACGCUAGCGGCAGGCUUAACACAUGCAAGUCGAGGGGCAGCACGGGUAGCAAUAUCUGGUGGCGACCGGCGCAAGGGUGCGUAACGCGUGAGCAACAUGCCCGUAUCAGGGGAAUAAUCCAGGGAAACUUGGUCUAAUACCCCAUAGUAAAUAUUAAAGGCAUCUUUAAUAUUUUAAAGCUUUGGUGGAUACGGAUUGGCUCGCGUGACAUUAGCUAGAUGGUAAGGUAACGGCUUACCAUGGCUACGAUGUCUAGGGGUUCUGAGAGGAAGAUCCCCCACACUGGAACUGAGACACGGUCCAGACUCCUACGGGAGGCAGCAGUGAGGAAUAUUGGACAAUGGAUGGAAAUCUGAUCCAGCCAUGCCGCGUGCAGGAAGACGGCCCUAUGGGUUGUAAACUGCUUUUAUAUGGGAGCAAUAAGGCCUACGUGUAGGUCGAUGAGAGUACCAUAUGAAUAAGCACCGGCUAACUCCGUGCCAGCAGCCGCGGUAAUACGGAGGGUGCAAGCGUUAUCCGGAUUUAUUGGGUUUAAAGGGUGCGUAGGCGGUUUGAUAAGUCAGCGGUGAAAUAUUUCAGCUUAACUGGAAGGGUGCCGUUGAUACUGUCAGGCUUGAAUUUAGUUGCUGUGGGUGGAAUGUGUGGUGUAGCGGUGAAAUGCAUAGAUAUCACACAGAAUAUCGAUUGCGAAGGCAGCUCACAAAGCUAAAAUUGACGCUGAUGCACGAAAGUGUGGGGAUCAAACAGGAUUAGAUACCCUGGUAGUCCACACUGUAAACGAUGAUAACCCGCUGUCGGCGAUACAUAGUCGGUGGCCAAGCGAAAGCGAUAAGUUAUCCACCUGGGGAGUACGACCGCAAGGUUGAAACUCAAAUGAAUUGACGG